CCUACGGGCGGCUGCAGUGAGGAAUAUUGGUCAAUGGACGAGAGUCUGAACCAGCCAAGUAGCGUGAAGGAUGAAUGCCCUAUGGGUUGUAAACUUCUUUUAUCUGGGAAUAAAAUGUUCCACGUGUGGGAUUUUGUAUGUACCUUAUGAAUAAGGAUCGGCUAACUCCGUGCCAGCAGCCGCGGUAAUACGGAGGAUCCGAGCGUUAUCCGGAUUUGUUGGGUUUAAAGGGAGCGUAAGUGGGUUGUUAAGUCAGGUGUGAAAGUUGUCGGCUCAACCGUAAAAGUGCAGUUGAAACUGGCGGUCUUGAGUACAGUAGAGGUGGGGGGAAUUCGUGGUGUAGCGGUGAAAUGCAUAGAUAUCACGAAGAACUCCGAUUGCGAAGGCAGCACACUGGACUGCAACUGACGCUGAGGCUCGAAAGUGUGGGUAUCGAACAGGAUUAGAUACCCUAGUAGUC
RNAcentral lists this ribosomal RNA (460 nucleotides) under uncultured bacterium. RNAcentral's name for it is "partial 16S ribosomal RNA". It matches the Rfam family "Bacterial small subunit ribosomal RNA", at positions 338 to 795 of the family's 1533-position model. The record is from RNAcentral.